Long non-coding RNA from Oreochromis niloticus (Nile tilapia), 1041 nucleotides. RefSeq lists it as uncharacterized. NCBI's taxonomy places the organism in Eukaryota, Metazoa, Chordata, Actinopteri, Cichliformes, Cichlidae. The transcript is spliced from 4 exons. The record is from RefSeq and is a predicted model, not a curated record.
GCAAACAUUUUCUCUCAGGCGGAGAGAGGUCAUGGAGUGUCAGCCUAUGGUAUCUGAGGUCCAGGAGAGAUGACCUGCGCUGUUUUCCUCUGAGGAGAUAUCUGAAAAUUUCAUCGGAUCACAAGCAAAGACCUCCUGGGGACCUUCAAUGCAUCCCUUGACAAAUUUGGGCCUGGCCUGCUGAAACUGUACUGGUCUAAGAAGGGAGCUCUUGGUGAGGAGAUGGAAGACCUCCUGGAUAAACUUGAUGAACAGACAUCCAACACUGUGUCCAACGGGCACUGAGAGGCCUGCCCAUUUUCCUCAAGAGAAGAUGCAGCAGAGGUUUUCCUGAAGUGCUUAGACACUGACAUUUUGGAACCAGUGUUGAACGGUGCAUCAGUUGCCAUCCUCACCAUCCUACAAGAUGACGAUGCCGAUACGUCUGUGCGAGAACAUGCAGUUGUGUUGGAAGGGGACAGGCUACAGAACAUUCCAGAUCUCUCUACUGCCCUGGCAUACCUCUUUGGCCUUCUGUAUGCCCUCAACAUUGAUUAUCCAAAGCAGAUGAGUUUUACCUUUGAAGCAAUUCAGGCCAUCUUAUUUUGACCUGGUCGGACAUUAUGAAGGCGAAGUGGAUAAAUCAUUAUUCGAAAUGUAAAUUUUAGUCAGAUGAAUCUGUAUUGUUGACAAUAUAUGGUGAAAAUUUGUCUUGUAGUAUUGUAAAAAACUUGUUAUAGUGUUAGUUUCCUCUUCAUUGAUGGUAACAUUUCUAAUAACUUUUAACUUCCAUAGUUCAUCAUAGUAAGCCUGUGUAAAAUGUCAAUGUCUGGGUACAUAGGCAAUCGUUUGUGGCACUACCCUAUUUAAUGUGCAAUAGUAAUGUUCAGCUUUUACAAGACAGUCAGGGUGUGUGUGUGUGUGAAUUAUUAAGUUGCUGGACACUUUUCUUUUUUGGUUCUGAACUCUGGAAUUUUAACGUCUCUGCUGGGGUGCUCAAAGCACCCAAAAGAAACUGGCAACACGUUUUUGUUUGUUUGUUAUUUCUUUUCUUUCUUUCUU